Molecule: ribosomal RNA, 310 nt
Filed under: uncultured bacterium
Lineage: Bacteria
Description: partial 16S ribosomal RNA
Rfam family: Bacterial small subunit ribosomal RNA
Source: RNAcentral
UAGGGAAUCUUCGGCAAUGGGGGCAACCCUGACCGAGCAACGCCGCGUGAGUGAAGAAGGUUUUCGGAUCGUAAAGCUCUGUUGUAAGUCAAGAACGGGUGUGAGAGUGGAAAGUUCACACUGUGACGGUAGCUUACCAGAAAGGGACGGCUAACUACGUGCCAGCAGCCGCGGUAAUACGUAGGUCCCGAGCGUUGUCCGGAUUUAUUGGGCGUAAAAGCGAGCGCAGGCGGUUUGAUAAGUCUGAAGUUAAAGGCUGUGGCUCAACCAUAGUUCGCUUUGGAAAACUGUCAAACUUGAGUGCAGAAGG